GAGCUUCCGCAGCCCAUCUAGUAAAGAUGGGAAUACAGAAAAAGUCCGCACGGCCCCUGUGCAAGGAUAACACGCACAUCCGUGAAACAGUCCAUAUUUUU
This is a small nuclear RNA of Rattus norvegicus (Norway rat), 101 nucleotides long. The record is from Ensembl. Lineage: Eukaryota; Metazoa; Chordata; Mammalia; Rodentia; Muridae.